Bombina bombina (fire-bellied toad) is the source of this 449-nucleotide long non-coding RNA. RefSeq lists it as uncharacterized. The record is from RefSeq and is a predicted model, not a curated record. The transcript has 3 exons. NCBI's taxonomy places the organism in Eukaryota, Metazoa, Chordata, Amphibia, Anura, Bombinatoridae.
CCAGAAAUGAAAUUUACCCAGUGAAAAUAUUAUCGCACUGCAAUAUGGGAUAGAUAUAAUGUCCACCAAGUGAGGGACACCGAGUGAGCAGAGAGGAGGCUCUUUCUUAAGAUGUGGGACACCGAGAAGUGGAAAGGUGGCUUUACUGAGACGACAUCACGGAGGAUCCGGUGCGUUUAAUUCGAUGGAUGGGAUUUUCCUGAUUUCUCUCAAGGCUUGACUAGGAUCUUCCAAGCUCUGGAUUCCUUCUUCCCAGGAUGUUUUUGAUGUUCGUUCUUCUAUAAUCUUCUAGUUAUCAACCAAAGAAAAGAGGAAGGACUUAGAUUGUUCUGGACUCUUUAUUGUGAUGCUGUAUCCUGAUUGGUUAUACACUGUUGCGUGUGAUUAUUUUUUUCUUACUUUCAGUUUCUUUGCUGUUGUUUUUGGUGUCAGUAAAGAAUAAUGCAAAA